This 431-nucleotide ribosomal RNA is filed under the name uncultured bacterium. RNAcentral describes it as "partial 16S ribosomal RNA". It matches the Rfam family "Bacterial small subunit ribosomal RNA", at positions 29 to 507 of the family's 1533-position model. The record is from RNAcentral.
AACGAACGCUGGCGGCAGGCCUAACACAUGCAAGUCGAGCGCCCUUUCGGGGGAGCGGCGGACGGGUGAGUAACGCGUGGGAAUAUGCCCUUCUCUACGGAAUAGCCUCGGGAAACUGAGAGUAAUACCGUAUACGCCCUGUGGGGGAAAGAUUUAUCGGGGAAGGAUUAGCCCGCGUUGGAUUAGGUAGUUGGGGGGGUAAUGGCCUACCAAGCCGACGAUCCAUAGCUGGUUUGAGAGGAUGAUCAGCCACACUGGGACUGAGACACGGCCCAGACUCCUACGGGAGGCAGCAGUGGGGAAUCUUAGACAAUGGGGGCAACCCUGAUCUAGCCAUGCCGCGUGAGUGAUGAAGGCCUUAGGGUUGUAAAGCUCUUUCAGCUGGGAAGAUAAUGACGGUACCAGCAGAAGAAGCCCCGGCUAACUCCGUG